Non-coding RNA from Mycena leptocephala, 98 nucleotides. The record is from the annotation of a GenBank genome assembly. NCBI's taxonomy places the organism in Eukaryota, Fungi, Basidiomycota, Agaricomycetes, Agaricales, Mycenaceae.
GGCUCGGUAGUGGAAGGCCCACACCUCCCAAUGAUAAAUCUGAUACAAGACAUCUAAUUGGUCUGGAGGAGCCGCCCGUUCGACUCGGGUCCGAGCCA